GUAAUAUUUGCACAGCUGAGUGUGAAUGCUGAACAAUGGCGCCAUGAAAAUAGUCUUCUAAGCUGGACAGUGGAAAACCUAGGAAAAUCAGGGGAUGCUCUUUGACCUUCAUUUCUGUUUGGCUUCACCUGUGUUUGUGUGGAAGUCUUAGACUGCUGAAGACUGCUGACGGAUAAACAGAAAAUCUGGGAAGAAGCUAGCAGUGGGGGAGGAACGAGUCAAGAAAGCAACUGAUUUAUUUGUCUUCCCUGGGUUUUCCCAAGAUUUUAAACAUUCCUGAUGCUUAUUUUCCUGGAAAUAUGCAAAGACAUUGGAGAAUGGGUUACUUGAGCGCCCUAAUUGGCAGCUGUUGGGCUCUCCUCUCUUGUUACCUUGGCUGUCCCUGAGCCAAAGAAUUGCCCAACAGCUGGCUGAGUUACCCUAAAGCUGCUGGUCCUCCUGAAUUCUCCACGGAAAAUAUACAACAGUUGCAGUUGAUUGCUUUGGCUUCUGGAGAUGCUGCCCCAGUCACUACUGAUUCCCUCUAUGCCGCGUUUUUUGCAAUGACAAACUUCAGUGAGCUCUAAAUGACCCUACAACCAGCCCCAACCCACGUGAGAGGUGAAGCACUUCCCGGGUUGACCAGCAGAGGCGCUGCAGAGAGUACUACUCAAGGAGGGAGCUGCGCUGAUUGGUACAAAUGUAACCUUCGUUUGCAUGCGAACUUUGUUCUGAUUGGUGAAAACAACCACUUCUCUAACUGUAUAAAUAAACAGGCUCUUGAGUCUACUUGGUGAGUCAGAUGGGAGAGAGCCUCCCUCCUGCUAUGCGGCCUUUCCUGGUGUUGUGACUGUAGGGCUACAAUAAGGGCCUUCUCUUGAGUGGUCCUUUCUUGCCCACUUGCAGAAGCGUGGAUUGAGACAGUAACAGGAAAGAAUGAGCAGCGUGGCACAAUGCAGAGGUGGCCGUGAAACAGCAGAAGCAGAAGCAGCUGAGCAGUUGGCUAGUCAAGCCACAAAAGCAGCAAGGCAGCCCACUGCUUGAAAGCUGAAGAAGAGGUAGCUGAACGGUUUAAGAGAAGGGCCGGGGCAGGAUCACUGGAAAGAAUCUGCAAGUGAGGCUGAAUAUCGAUAGAUGGAUGGAUCUAAAGAGCCAGAAAAGAGAAGCUAUAAGCCCUGGUCACUGGUGAACUUUCAGAGAACUUUCAAAACUUCAGGGAAAUGUAGGGAGGCCUUGCUGGCCAUGUUGGUCAAAGAUUGCUGUCUACCGUGGCUCGGCAGCCUUCUCCAAGCUGUGCAACAGAAGAGACUCCGUCCCAAGCCAGGACUUCCCGCUCUCUGCCUGCCCUUAUCUGGAGGCUGUCUCUAGGUCCUGAGGACUGACCUUAUCUGAAAGCUGUCUCUAGGCCUAGACGCCUGAUUUAUCUCUAGCAUGACCCUUGGCAUAGUUUUCUACUGGAAGCUUUCUCCCUGUUGCCCACAUGGUAGCUAAGACUUUAAUGCAAAUUAGGUGAUUCCCCAGUUACCUUCCCCAAACCAUAUAUAUAUACAUAUGCUCUGGAAUAAAGUCUAGUUGUCUCAUUGAAGCCAUUUCCUGGGGAGUUAUUGUUAAGCUGGGAGCUUAGGCCCCAGCCCCUCUCAUCUAUCCUAGUCCCCUGACCCGGAGAGUCAGCACUCUGGACUCCAAAUCCCAGCAGGCCAGGUCCUGACUCCAAGGCCCAGGGUAUUUAAA
Long non-coding RNA from Myodes glareolus (Bank vole), 1710 nucleotides. RefSeq lists it as uncharacterized. The record is from RefSeq and is a predicted model, not a curated record. NCBI's taxonomy places the organism in Eukaryota, Metazoa, Chordata, Mammalia, Rodentia, Cricetidae.